Molecule: ribosomal RNA, 468 nt
Filed under: uncultured bacterium
Lineage: Bacteria
Description: partial 16S ribosomal RNA
Rfam family: Bacterial small subunit ribosomal RNA
Source: RNAcentral
GACGAACGCUGGCGGCGUGCUUAACACAUGCAAGUCGAACGGAAAGGCCCUGCUUUUGUGGGGUGCUCGAGUGGCGAACGGGUGAGUAACACGUGAGUAACCUGCCCUUGACUUUGGGAUAACUUCAUGAAACUGGGGCUAAUACCGGAUAGGAGCUCCUGCUGCAUGGUGGGGGUUGGAAAGUUUCGGCGGUUGGGGAUGGACUCGCGGCUUAUCAGCUUGUUGGUGGGGUAGUGGCUUACCAAGGCUUUGACGGGUAGCCGGCCUGAGGGGGUGACCGGCCACAUUGGGACUGAGAUACGGCCCAGAACCCUCCGGGCGGCAGCAGUGGGGAAUCUUGCACAAUGGGCGGAAGCCUGAGGCAGCAACGCCGCGUGCGGGAUGACGGCCUUCGGGUUGUAACCCGCUUUCGCCUGUGACGAAGCGUGAGUGACGGUAAUGGGUAAAGAAGCCCCGGCUAACUCCGUG